RNAcentral lists this ribosomal RNA (253 nucleotides) under uncultured bacterium. Its description in RNAcentral is "partial 16S ribosomal RNA". It matches the Rfam family "Bacterial small subunit ribosomal RNA", at positions 524 to 776 of the family's 1533-position model. The record is from RNAcentral.
UACGGAGGGGGCUAGCGUUGUUCGGAAUUACUGGGCGUAAAGCGCACGUAGGCGGCUUUGUAAGUUAGAGGUGGAAGCCCGGGGCUCAACUCCGGAAUUGCCUUUAAGACUGCAUCGCUAGAAUUGUGGAGAGGUAAGUGGAAUUCCGAGUGUAGAGGUGAAAUUCGUAGAUAUUCGGAAGAACACCAGUGGCGAAGGCGACUUACUGGACACAUAUUGACGCUGAGGUGCGAAAGCGUGGGGAGCGAACAGG